CAGCCGCCACGGUAAAACGGAGGGGGCUAGCGUUGUUCGGAAUUACUGGGCGUAAAGCGUACGUAGGCGGUUUUGUAAGUUAGAGGUGAAAGCCCGGAGCUCAACUCCGGAAUUGCCUUUAAGACUGCAUCACUUGAAUCGUGGAGAGGUGAGUGGAAUUCCGAGUGUAGAGGUGAAAUUCGUAGAUAUUCGGAAGAACACCAGUGGCGAAGGCGGCUCACUGGACACGUAUUGACGCUGAGGUACGAAAGCGUGGGGAGCAAACAGGAUUAGAUACCCCGGUAGUCCCUGUCUCUUAUAC
Molecule: ribosomal RNA, 301 nt
Filed under: uncultured bacterium
Lineage: Bacteria
Description: partial 16S ribosomal RNA
Rfam family: Bacterial small subunit ribosomal RNA
Source: RNAcentral